Molecule: ribosomal RNA, 529 nt
Filed under: Bombus robustus
Lineage: Eukaryota; Metazoa; Arthropoda; Insecta; Hymenoptera; Apidae
Description: partial large subunit ribosomal RNA
Rfam family: Bacterial large subunit ribosomal RNA (bases 377-529)
Source: RNAcentral
GGCUUAAUGAUUAUAAUUUUAAGUCAAUCUGCCCAAUGAUAUUAUAUUAAAUGGCUGCAGUAUAAUUAACUGUACAAAGGUAGCAUAGUCAAUUGUUUUUUAAUUGGAAACUGGAAUGAAAGAAUUAAUGAGAUAUAUACUGUCUCAUAUAUAUGUUAUUAAGUUAAAUUUUUAGUUAAAAUGCUGAAAUAGAUUUAUGGGACGAUAAGACCCUAUAGAAUUUUAUAUUAAAAUUUAAAAUAUAUUAAUUUUUAGGUUUUAAUAUUUGAUUGGGAGGAUUAAUAAAUUUAAUUAACUUUAUUUUAAAAAUAUACUUUGAUUUAAGGAUUAUAUUAAUGAUUUUGUAUUAUAGAUUAUAAGAAAAAAUUACCUUAGGGAUAACAGCGUAAUAUCUUUUUAAAGACCGAAUUUAUAAAGAUGAUUGCGACCUCGAUGUUGAAUUAAGAUAAAUUUUAAAUGGAGAAGUUUAAUAAUUAAGUCUGUUCGACUUUUAAAAUCUUACAUGAUUUGAGUUCAAAUCGACGUGAGU